GACGAACGCUGGCGGCGUGCUUAACACAUGCAAGUCGAACGGAAAGGCCCUGCUUGCAGGGUACUCGAGUGGCGAACGGGUGAGUAACACGUGGGUGAUCUGCCCUGCACUUCGGGAUAAGCCUGGGAAACUGGGUCUAAUACCGGAUAGGGGCCAUUUUUAGUGUGAUGGUUGGAAAGUUUUUUCGGUGUAGGAUGAGCUCGCGGCCUAUCAGCUUGUUGGUGGGGUAAUGGCCUACCAAGGCGGCGACGGGUAGCCGGCCUGAGAGGGUGGACGGCCACAUUGGGACUGAGAUACGGCCCAGACUCCUACGGGAGGCAGCAGUGGGGAAUAUUGCACAAUGGGCGCAAGCCUGAUGCAGCGACGCCGCGUGGGGGAUGACGGCCUUCGGGUUGUAAACUCCUUUCGCCAGGGACGAAGCUUUUUGUGACGGUACCUAGAUAAGAAGCACCGGCUAACUACGUG
Molecule: ribosomal RNA, 465 nt
Filed under: uncultured bacterium
Lineage: Bacteria
Description: partial 16S ribosomal RNA
Rfam family: Bacterial small subunit ribosomal RNA
Source: RNAcentral